This 377-nucleotide ribosomal RNA is filed under the name uncultured bacterium. Its description in RNAcentral is "bacterial SSU rRNA". It matches the Rfam family "Bacterial small subunit ribosomal RNA", at positions 523 to 898 of the family's 1533-position model. The record is from RNAcentral.
AUACGGAGGGUGCAAGCGUUGUUCGGAAUUAUUGGGCGUAAAGCGCGUGUAGGCGGUCUUUUAAGUCUGAUGUGAAAGCCCCGGGCUCAACCUGGGAAGUGCAUUGGAAACUGGGAGACUUGAGUACGGGAGAGGAGAGUGGAAUUCCUAGUGUAGGAGUGAAAUCCGUAGAUAUUAGGAGGAACACCGGUGGCGAAGGCGGCUCUCUGGACCGAUACUGACGCUGAGACGCGAAAGCGUGGGUAGCAAACAGGAUUAGAUACCCUGGUAGUCCACGCCGUAAACGAUGAGUACUAGGUGUUGCGGGUAUUGACCCCUGCAGUGCCGUAGUAAACGCAAUAAGUAUCCCGCCUGGGGAGUACGGCCGCAAGGUUGAA